UCGGGAAUAUUGCGCAAUGGAGGAAACUCUGACGCAGUGACGCCGCGUGCAGGAAGAAGGUUUUCGGAUUGUAAACUGCUUUAGACAGGGAAGAAACAAGACAGUACCUGUAAAAUAAGCUCCGGCUAACUACGUGCCAGCAGCCGCGGUAAUACGUAGGGAGCAAGCGUUAUCCGGAUUUAUUGGGUGUAAAGGGUGCGUAGACGGGAAGACAAGUUGGUUGUGAAAUCCCUCGGCUUAACCGAGGAACUGCAACCAAAACUAUCUUUCUUGAGUGUUGGAGAGGAAAGUGGAAUUCCUAGUGUAGCGGUGAAAUGCGUAGAUAUUAGGAGGAACGCCAGUGGCGAAGGCGACUUUCUGGACAAUAACUGACGUUGAUGCACGAAAGUGUGGGGAGCAAACAGGAUUAGAUACCC
RNAcentral lists this ribosomal RNA (416 nucleotides) under uncultured bacterium. Its description in RNAcentral is "bacterial SSU rRNA". It matches the Rfam family "Bacterial small subunit ribosomal RNA", at positions 355 to 787 of the family's 1533-position model. The record is from RNAcentral.